RNAcentral lists this ribosomal RNA (459 nucleotides) under uncultured bacterium. RNAcentral describes it as "partial 16S ribosomal RNA". It matches the Rfam family "Bacterial small subunit ribosomal RNA", at positions 338 to 795 of the family's 1533-position model. The record is from RNAcentral.
CCUACGGGGGGCAGCAGUGAGGAAUAUUGGUCAAUGGGCGGAAGCCUGAACCAGCCAAGUAGCGUGCGGGAUGAAGGCCCUACGGGUUGUAAACCGCUUUUGCACGGGGAUAACACCCUCCACGUGUGGAGGUCUGCAGGUACCGUGCGAAUAAGGGCCGGCUAAUUCCGUGCCAGCAGCCGCGGUAAUACGGAAGGCCCGAGCGUUAUCCGGAUUGAUUGGGCGUAAGGGGAGCGGAGGCGGGCGUGCAAGUCAGCUGUAAAAUCGCGCGGCUCACCCGCGCCCCGCAGUUGAAACUGGCCUCCUUGAGUUCACGACAGGCAGGCGGAAUUCGUCGUGUAGCGGUGAAAUGCUUAGCUAUCACGAGGAACCCCGAUUGCGAAGGCAGCCUGCCGGGGUGCGACUGACGCUGAGGCUCGAAGGUGCGGGUAUCAAACAGGAUUAGAUACCCUUGUAGUC